ACCCGCAAGUACGAGGCAGAGUGAAAGGACAACCUUUCAAUGUUCACAAACAUUGAGGCCGCUCGAGUAAUAUCAUCGGUGUUUAAAUUGUCGAUGGAGAUUCCAUUAUUUCAAUGGAGUUAGAUAUCCAAGCAUCCUGAAUGGAUGCCUCAAAUCAAUGCAUGGUUUGACACAUUUGAGGACAAAUUCUGCUGGGAUAGUGAGCAUAACACUAUU
This is a long non-coding RNA of Populus euphratica (Euphrates poplar), 216 nucleotides long. RefSeq lists it as uncharacterized. NCBI's taxonomy places the organism in Eukaryota, Viridiplantae, Streptophyta, Magnoliopsida, Malpighiales, Salicaceae. The transcript has 3 exons. The record is from RefSeq and is a predicted model, not a curated record.